GGCUCCGAGGCGGGGCUGUCGUUCUUCACCUGGACAAAUACAAAAAAUAGAAGAAAACGUAUUUUGUAGUCGGCCUAUUUACCCCCCAAAUCACAUAUGCACAUCUACUUGCAAAUAUAAGAUAAUGUCGGUGUUGGAUAUAUUUGCUAGUAUUUAUUAAUAAAUCACAUCGAGUUUUUUUAUUGAUGUAGAAACACAUAUUUACAACUCAACCUUGUUACAAAUCGCAUGGCUUGGCAAACCACAUUUGUUGCAAUAAUGAAAAAAAUGGCAAAAGCAAAGGAACUGAAAAUAUCCGGGGAAUUUCGGAACGUGAAACCAACGAGCCACCGAAUACGCGAAAGUGGUGAUUGUGCAAGUCGAUUGGCUGUUGCCGUUUCGGAAGUCACGCCCACACUGCAGAGCAAAGCGCCGCCUCUUCCUCUGCGCGGAUCCCAUCUACGUGCCGUUUGCGUUGCACCGUCAUUCUCUGGGCUCCUGCUACGAGGACUAACUGGCUGCGCUUUUCAGGCCGUGUUCAUGUCGUAGACUGAGAUACACAAAAUGGCGGCUAAGGAAGUGUCUUCUUGACGAGGGAGAGAAACUUUGGAUAAAAUGGAAGGCCGACGCCGUGAAAGCAACGGCUAGAAACUUCAGGCCUCAUGGCCGGGACCGGAAAACGCGGGGCAAAGGAGUGUACUGGCAGCGUUUUGUGGGCUGCUGCCGUAAGGACCGAAGUUUUGAGCGGCCCCAGGAGUUUCGGGUGGGCCUUGGAGUAGUACCGGCUGGGAGUAUGGCCCCCGAAAACACAACGCAGUAUUUGAUGGACAAAGUCUUCAGUGAUCUCCUGACCGAUUGCCGCAACGAGGCCUUUCCCGGCGCAAACCUCCACGAUGCCAUUGACUUGUCGGUGCGUGACGAUUCUUUGCAUUUGUACGGAGAAACGCACUCGCCGCGGACCGUUUACGCUUCGCUGGAUUGGACCGACGAAAGUACCAUGUCGUUCCAGCAGAGGGACUUUGAGGACAUGCUUCAACGCUACAGUGAAUGAAUUCAACGCUAAAAUGCAGCGUUGAAUGGACCAUGCCCUUUUGAUUCAAUUACUCCCAACGGACUUCAAUGUGUGGGGAGAGUGUUGAAUUUCUUGUAAAUGUUUUGUACAAUCGAAUGUAAAUAUGUUGAGUUUCUAAAGGAAUUUAUUUUAUUGGUCUCUGGCCAUCUCCGGUUUGAUAAAAUCAGCACUGUGUACCCCCCGAGUUGUGUGUUUGAAGUGGACGCGUUUUGAAUUUCAUUGUCGGAUUUUCCCUGUCCCACAGCGAUGCAACUGGUGCAGACAGUCGCUAGAGGGCGCUCCUGCCAGCCUUGCAUCCGCAGACUCGGGUGUCCCUCUUGUCGUCGGAGUCUGAGAACUCAGCUCUGCCCUCUUGAGGCCGUCAGGUAAACUGGGUGCACCGCGACGUCUGCAUAAACGGGACCACUUGUCAAAUUGCAUUAUUAAAUAACAUGUUGAAUCUAAACGGUUUAAGGGUAUUUCUUUUAAGUGGGCAAUGUGUAAAUCAUUUUAGACAGAAUCCAGAAAGUGAACAUGUCCAGAAAUGCUCAAACGUGUCAUUAAAGUUUUUAGCAAAUUGUUUCAAACCAGUGACUCAUUCUGCUCUGCAUGCUAAAUGUUUGAGAUUAGUUCUCUCUUCCAGAUCUCUAGAGCACAGUUGUCCAGUGGUUUCAGAAUUAACGUGUGCGAGCAUUUUGCAGGUUUCCUGGUGAUUUGGCGUAGUUUCAAUGUCGUGCCCGUUUAAAUGUCAGCGCGCGUCGCAGCUCACUCCCGGUAACCGUCUCCGCAGGACGCGGUCACGUGAGGAUCUGUAAACGGAAUCGUGGUGUUGAGGACAGUGCCGAUGGUAAGGUACCGUUGUGUUCAGCAGUGUGUAUGCAAGAAGACAUGAAUCAAAUAAACUUGAUGAAAGAAA
Molecule: long non-coding RNA, 1946 nt
Organism: Conger conger (European conger)
Lineage: Eukaryota; Metazoa; Chordata; Actinopteri; Anguilliformes; Congridae
Exons: 2
Source: RefSeq, a predicted model, not a curated record